GUGGGUAGUUUGACUGGGGCGGUCUCCUCCUAAAGAGUAACGGAGGAGCACGAAGGUUGGCUAAUCCUGGUCGGACAUCAGGAGGUUAGUGCAAUGGCAUAAGCCAGCUUGACUGCGAGCGUGACGGCGCGAGCAGGUGCGAAAGCAGGUCAUAGUGAUCCGGUGGUUCUGAAUGGAAGGGCCAUCGCUCAACGGAUAAAAGGUACUCCGGGGAUAACAGGCUGAUACCGCCCAAGAGUUCAUAUCGACGGCGGUGUUUGGCACCUCGAUGUCGGCUCAUCACAUCCUGGGGCUGAAGUAGGUCCCAAGGGUAUGGCUGUUCGCCAUUUAAAGUGGUACGCGAGCUGGGUUUAGAACGUCGUGAGACAGUUCGGUCCCUAUCUGCCG
RNAcentral lists this ribosomal RNA (387 nucleotides) under Salmonella enterica. RNAcentral's name for it is "partial 23S ribosomal RNA". It matches the Rfam family "Bacterial large subunit ribosomal RNA", at positions 2261 to 2647 of the family's 2925-position model. The record is from RNAcentral. Lineage: Bacteria; Pseudomonadati; Pseudomonadota; Gammaproteobacteria; Enterobacterales; Enterobacteriaceae.